GGCCCUGUAGCUUAGCCUGGUAGAGCGCUGGUCUUAUAAGCCAGAGGUCCUGGGUUCAAAUCAAGUGUCACGCCACUUGGGAGGCGGGGCGACUGCGCUCAUUGCAUUCGCUUAGUCACCUAGAAUAAUCGCGACAACUUAUGAAAUUCCCGGCAGGGCCA
RNAcentral lists this transfer RNA (161 nucleotides) under Nanobdellota archaeon. RNAcentral's name for it is "tRNA-Ile". The stretch from base 1 to 70 matches the Rfam family "tRNA". The record is from RNAcentral. Lineage: Archaea; Nanobdellati; Nanobdellota.